Molecule: ribosomal RNA, 1293 nt
Filed under: metagenome
Description: bacterial LSU rRNA
Rfam family: Bacterial large subunit ribosomal RNA
Source: RNAcentral
ACCGUACCGCAAACCGACACUGGUGCGCGAGAUGAGUAUUCUAAGGCGCUUGAGAGAACUCUGGAGAAGGAACUCGGCAAAUUGACACCGUAACUUCGGAAGAAGGUGUGCCUUUAGUAGGUGAAGUCGUACAGACGGAGCCCAAUGAGGCCGCAGAGAAUCGGUGGCUGCGACUGUUUAUUAAAAACACAGCACUCUGCAAAGACGAAAGUCGACGUAUAGGGUGUGACGCCUGCCCGGUGCUGGAAGAUUAAAUGAUGGGGUGCAAGCUCUUGAUUGAAGUCCCAGUAAACGGCGGCCGUAACUAUAACGGUCCUAAGGUAGCGAAAUUCCUUGUCGGGUAAGUUCCGACCUGCACGAAUGGCGUAACGAUGGCCACGCUGUCUCCUCCAGAGACUCAGCGAAGUUGAAAUGUUUGUGAUGAUGCAAUCUCCCCGCGGAAAGACGGAAAGACCCCAUGAACCUUUACUGUAGCUUCACAUUGGACUUUGAACAGAUCUGUGUAGGAUAGGUGGGAGGCUUUGAAGCGGUGCCGCUAGGUGUCGUGGAGCCAACCUUGAAAUACCACCCUGGUGUGUUUGGGGUUCUAACCUUGACCCGUUAUCCGGGUUGGGGACAGUGUGUGGUGGGCAGUUUGACUGGGGCGGUCUCCUCCCAAAGUGUAACGGAGGAGUUCGAAGGUACGCUAGGCACGGUCGGAAAUCGUGCUGAUAGUGCAUUGGCAUAAGCGUGCUUGACUGCGAGACGGACAUGUCGAGCAGGUACGAAAGUAGGACAAAGUGAUCCGGUGGUUCUGUAUGGAAGGGCCAUCGCUCAACGGAUAAAAGGUACUCUGGGGAUAACAGGCUGAUACCGCCCAAGAGCUCAUAUCGACGGCGGUGUUUGGCACCUCGAUGUCGGCUCAUCUCAUCCUGGGGCUGUAGCCGGUCCCAAGGGUAUGGCUGUUCGCCAUUUAAAGAGGUACGUGAGCUGGGUUUAAAACGUCGUGAGACAGUUUGGUCCCUAUCUUCCGUGGGCGCUGCAAGAUUGAGAGAGCCUGCUCCUAGUACGAGAGGACCGGAGUGGACGCACCUCUGGUGCAUCGGUUGUCACGCCAGUGGCAUAGCCGAGUAGCUAAGUGCGGAAGAGAUAACCGCUGAAAGCAUCUAAGCGGGAAACUCGUCUCAAGAUGAGUCUUGCCGGGGCCUUGAGCCCCCUGAAGAGUCGUUCGAGACCAGGACGUUGAUAGGCCGGGUGUGGAAGCGCGGUAACGCGUUAAGCUGACCGGUACUAAUUGCCCGUGAGGCUUGACCC